RNAcentral lists this ribosomal RNA (497 nucleotides) under uncultured bacterium. RNAcentral's name for it is "partial 16S ribosomal RNA". It matches the Rfam family "Bacterial small subunit ribosomal RNA", at positions 28 to 507 of the family's 1533-position model. The record is from RNAcentral.
GAUGAACGCUGGCGGCGUGCCUAAUACAUGCAAGUCGAGCGAACGGACGAGAAGCUUGCUUUUCUGAUGUUAGCGGCGGACGGGUGAGUAACACGUGGAUAACCUACCUAUAAGACUGGGAUAACUUCGGGAAACCGGAGCUAAUACCGGAUAAUAUUUUGAACCGCAUGGUUCAAAAGUGAAAGACGGUCUUGCUGUCACUUAUAGAUGGAUCCGCGCUGCAUUAGCUAGUUGGUAAGGUAACGGCUUACCAAGGCAACGAUGCAUAGCCGACCUGAGAGGGUGAUCCGACACACUGGAACUGAGACACGGCCCAGACUCCUACGGGAGGACGCAGUAGGGAAUCUUCCGCGAUGGGCGAGAGCCUGACGGAGCAACGCCGCGUGAGUGAUGAAGGUCUUCUGAUCGUAAAACUCUGUUAUUAGGGAAGAACAUAUGUGUAAGUAACUGUGCACAUCUUGACGGUACCUAAUCAGAAAGCCACGGCUAACUACGUG